UCUAAUUCAUAUAUCCAAUAUCUAAUUCUUUCAUCAUGAAGUACAAUAAUAAUUUACAUUUUGCUGAUUUAAACAUCUGUCUGACAAGGGCAAGUUUUGUAGGGUUUUUCUCCAGCUGGUAUAAAAACUGCUGCAUAAACAAAUUUAACUAAACGAAGAGGCGUAUGAAAAUGAAAAUCAAUAGUUGCCUAGAUGCAUGGUUGGAUAAUAGAAAUGAGCAGAAAGAGUUGCGCUCAUUAGUGACACGCGAUACUCGAAUAAAACGGAAAUGGCAAAUCAAAUACUCAAAGCGAAAAAAGGGCGCUGAGCCAAAGAAGCGCAAAUCAGUUACAACUAUGGACAGUUAUCUCAGCGGGUCAUCUCUUCACGAAAGGACAAUUAUGAGUGGACAUGCUAAUUUGUGCGUGGAACGGCGAGGACAGCCGGGCCAAAGGGACAGGCACGCGCCAAAGCAGAAUACCUCAAUAUUUGUGGAUGGAACGUGAUUUGGCGCAUUUGCCAUGGCAAGAACCGCGCCCAGCAAGCGUCAAGACAGCGCCGCGCCCAGGACAGAACAGCACGGUGAAUCCUUUCCCUACACACACACACACACACACACGCACUUGAUUAGCCAGCGCUGCUUUGCCUAAAAGUAUGCAAAAUGUUUUGUUCACGCUGCACAAACAGGCGCUUCAGCUGUGCUCAACUGAACAUGGAGGACACGAAGCGUAACCGCUGAGCACGCAAAGGGUUAAUUAAUUAAAUGCGCUUUGUGCUGCGUUGAUAUAUACAAAGAUAUACAGAUACGGCCACAAUCUGCUGCUGCAGACGGCGACUGACUCCGCCCAGCUUGUGGCCACACCCACAUUGCAUUCGCCCCGUGCCCCAAACCCUGUGGUUGCCAGCGUCUUUGAUGUAAACUUCGUAAAGUCUCAAGAAAAUGCCUCGAGCUGUCGUUUUGUAAUUUCCAGCCACAAUUUUCCGACUUUUGCCCCCACAAAAAAUAAGUUGAAAAGCGUUCAGUUUAACGCUUCAAUUGCCUUUAACUCGAAUAACCGGCAACUCCGUCCUACGCGUAGCCGCACUUGUAUCUAUUUAUAAGGGAAUACUCGAAAACUUCGCCCUGGGUGUGUCUGUGUCGUCGCCCAAUACGUUUCUCCUAUACCCUGUACUCAGAAAAUGGUUGAAAAGGACUAUCGGUAGUUGUGAAGAUGCAUCUCUAACUGGCAAAAGUUAACAUUCGUGCUAAUAUUCGACUUGAUUAAAGUGAGAGAACAUUAUUUAAAGUUUCGUCUGUCUGUUAAAGUUAGAAAGCACAGUUAUAUUCCAG
Drosophila novamexicana is the source of this 1309-nucleotide long non-coding RNA. RefSeq lists it as uncharacterized. Lineage: Eukaryota; Metazoa; Arthropoda; Insecta; Diptera; Drosophilidae. The record is from RefSeq and is a predicted model, not a curated record. The transcript has 3 exons.